RNAcentral lists this long non-coding RNA (931 nucleotides) under Anser brachyrhynchus (Pink-footed goose). RNAcentral's name for it is "lncRNA (ENSABRG00000015227.1)". The record is from RNAcentral. Lineage: Eukaryota; Metazoa; Chordata; Aves; Anseriformes; Anatidae.
AGCUGGGUCUAUUGCUCUGCAGCCUGUGAUUCCCACAGAUGUUCAGGAUGAGGACUUUGGAGGCAGGAGAGUUUGUGGGGUUUGAAGGAAGCAAUGCAGGCUGGCUUUAGAAGAGAUUUUCUGUAUGUCAGUGAAUCAUUCAUGAAUGCAGAAAGAAAUAUAACACAUAAUUGCUAUAUCUGAAGCUCUUGAGCUCUGUUGUUAGCAACAAGUUAACAAGCAAGCAGGGGCUUCAAUUGUUGCAGCUGUUUUUAAUAACAAAUAUUGAUAACUUGCAUCUCUCCAGAGGUGAUCCAUAAAGAGUAUAAUCUAUACUGAGUUGACCAGGUAGCAAUUUUUCUUUCAUCUGCAAUAAUAAUUAAUGUUAAUACUUAAUUACACAAACACUUAUAGACUGUAAGGAGGUUCUUUGUGGUAGGUGCUGAAUUGCUAUUAAAAUACUAAAUAAGUAGAAAAAUGAAUGGUUCUUCUCCAUAGUGCUGCCUUGUGACAUGCACACAAAUUCCUGCUGACCAUCACUGCAGAGGCAGAAUCCAGCCACUUCCUACUGAUGUUUGUUCUGCUCUGAAUAGAGUCAAAUCUGUCUACUCCAGUUAAGAACCCGAUUGCAUAUUUUAGUUCUUAAGGUGAUGGCUGUAUUAUCAUAUCUACAGGCCCUGAAGUGUGCCUGAGCCUGAGGAAUCUCCAAGACAGCAGGGGCCUGUUCAGCAGGGUUGGGUCCCUAUUAGUAGGUGCGUUCAGUUGUAGGCUGCCUGUGGAGAGAUGCAAAGAAGUUCAGGCUGUAUUUGUUACUUUCCUGAAGCACGGCUAAGCAGCCCCGUCCUCCUCGUCUUGCAGAUUGAAGCCUGAAACAACCUGCCUGGCCUCCUUCCCCACUUGUCGUUCAAGGUGAGUGUACGAUCUUUAAAAUAACCUGCAGGCAGGGUGAAGG